This is a long non-coding RNA of Helianthus annuus (common sunflower), 792 nucleotides long. RefSeq lists it as uncharacterized. NCBI's taxonomy places the organism in Eukaryota, Viridiplantae, Streptophyta, Magnoliopsida, Asterales, Asteraceae. The transcript has 2 exons. The record is from RefSeq and is a predicted model, not a curated record.
UAUAGGGCACUGUCUAACAUCAUUUAUCAGCCAGCCGCAACAUAAAAUCCCAAAACGACACCGUAUGCGUUUGGCGUUGUGUAUAAAUCAUCUCCAGCUGUUAUGUAAACUUUCUUGACGCGCAUAAGAAAAACCAAACCAAACCGGCCGGCUUCUUCUUCAGAUCUAAUCUCUUCUCUUCCGAACAGCCAUAUUUCGUGUUUGUGCGUGAAUCUAAGGAUCCUUAAUCUUAUCACAUCACCAGUAAUCAUACUUUUUGUUUGUUUGUUUGUUGCCAGACAGGAUCUGUUGGUUCGUUAGAUUCACGCACAAACUCGUAAUAUGUCUCUUCAUUUGCAACCAAUCAAGAUUCUUCAUGAAUUCAUCGCCGCCGCCGGAAUCUUUGAAUCUGAUUCUGAAAUGAAGAAAUGGGUCUGUAUUAUCAAUUAUGAUAUGCUGCUGGGUUAUUUAGGACCAUAUGUAAGUUUUUAUUUGUGUCUGAUUUUAACGGAUCACUGUGGGGGGCUCCAAAAUUCACUGAUCUUGGUUGACUACCAUCGCCUUCCUUUUUUAUCGACUCUAGAUUAUCACAGGUUUUUUUUAGAGCAGAACUCCAGAUUACAUCGCAAGUUUAACUCUUUGCUACAGGGUCGUUCGAUCACCAUCUUCUCGCAGCUACCUCCUAAUCAGGUUUCUCAUGAUGUAAAAUUGUAAAAAGCAUUGAAUUUCUUGAAUAUUGGAUUCUCAUAUCAUUUUGUUAUAUCUACUUGUCCAUAACAAAAAUUAUCCUACUGACAAAUAUUGUUCAUGAUC